This is a long non-coding RNA of Rosa chinensis, 282 nucleotides long. RefSeq lists it as uncharacterized. Lineage: Eukaryota; Viridiplantae; Streptophyta; Magnoliopsida; Rosales; Rosaceae. The transcript is spliced from 3 exons. The record is from RefSeq and is a predicted model, not a curated record.
CAUUUCAGAAACUCUCUAAACCUUGUGUCCAUAUGAGGUACAAAAGCUUGAAUAUGUGACUCAAAGAUCAUCAAAGAAAAAAUUCCUUGCAAAAGGCCAUUUUUCUUGUAGUGUAAAGGAAUUUGAUGGGGUAUAUGGACCAGCAUGACACUGCAUUGUAGGAACAAAUUUUGGGUCUUUUGUCACACACUCAGCUUACUCAUCUAGCCUGAUAGAUAUAGAAAGGGAUUAUCUUUCAAUGGAUAAAUGAUAUCCCAGGCUCUUUAUACCCUUAGAAUUCUA